RNAcentral lists this ribosomal RNA (220 nucleotides) under uncultured bacterium. RNAcentral describes it as "partial 16S ribosomal RNA". It matches the Rfam family "Bacterial small subunit ribosomal RNA", at positions 1282 to 1500 of the family's 1533-position model. The record is from RNAcentral.
AGCGUCCCAGUUCGGAUUGUAGUCUGCAACUCGACUACAUGAAGCCGGAAUCGCUAGUAAUCGCGGAUCAGAAUGCCGCGGUGAAUACGUUCCCGGGUCUUGUACACACCGCCCGUCACACCAUGGGAGCCGGAAAUGCCCGAAGUCAGUGGCCCAACCAAUAAGGAGGGAGCUGCCGAAGGCAGGUCUGGUGACUGGGGUGAAGUCGUAACAAGGUAAC